RNAcentral lists this ribosomal RNA (602 nucleotides) under Nigidionus parryi. RNAcentral describes it as "partial 16S ribosomal RNA". It matches the Rfam family "Bacterial large subunit ribosomal RNA", at positions 1770 to 2645 of the family's 2925-position model. The record is from RNAcentral. Lineage: Eukaryota; Metazoa; Arthropoda; Insecta; Coleoptera; Lucanidae.
UUAAGGAAUUCGGCAAAUAUAUUUUCUGCCUGUUUAUUAAAAACAUGGCUUUUUGAGAUAAUUUAAGGUCUGACCUGCCCAAUGAUGUAUUAAAUGGCCGCGGUAAUUUGACCGUGCAAAGGUAGCAUAGUAAUUAGUUUUUUGAUUGAAAGCUGGUAUGAACGGUUUGACAAGAAAGUGUCUGUCUCUAUAUAGAUUUAAAUGAAUUUUAUUUUUUAGUUAAAAAGCUUAAAUGAUAUUGGGGGACGAGAAGACCCUAUAGAAUUUUAUAGGUAUUUAAAAUUUAAUGUUUUUGAAGGAUUAAUUUUAGAUUUAGGUUACCUAUUUCGUUGGGGUGAUGGAAAAAUUUAUUAAACUUUUUUAGAGAAGAUUCAUUAAUGAAUGAUUAUUUGAUCCAUUAAUAGUGAUUAUAAGAUUAAAUUACCUUAGGGAUAACAGCGUUAUUGGUUUGGAGAGUUCAUAUCGAUAAAUCAGUUUGCGACCUCGAUGUUGGAUUAAAAUACAUUACUGGUGUAGAAGCUAGUAAAUUAAGUCUGUUCGACUUUUAAAAUUUUACAUGAUCUGAGUUUAAACCGGCGUGAGCCAGGUUGGUUUCUAUCUUU